ACAUGAAGCUGGAAUCGCUAGUAAUCGCGGAUCAGAAUGCCGCGGUGAAUACGUUCCCGGGUCUUGUACACACCGCCCGUCACACCAUGGGAGUCGGAAAUGCCCGAAGUCUGUGACCCAACCUGCAAGGGAGGGAGCAGCCGAAGGCGGGUCGGAUGACUGGGGUGAAGUCGUAACAAGGUAGC
RNAcentral lists this ribosomal RNA (185 nucleotides) under uncultured bacterium. RNAcentral describes it as "partial 16S ribosomal RNA". It matches the Rfam family "Bacterial small subunit ribosomal RNA", at positions 1318 to 1500 of the family's 1533-position model. The record is from RNAcentral.